Leopardus geoffroyi (Geoffroy's cat) is the source of this 2995-nucleotide long non-coding RNA. RefSeq lists it as uncharacterized. NCBI's taxonomy places the organism in Eukaryota, Metazoa, Chordata, Mammalia, Carnivora, Felidae. The transcript is spliced from 3 exons. The record is from RefSeq and is a predicted model, not a curated record.
GCCCCACAUUGGGUGUGGAGCCUACUUAAAAAAUAUAAAAUUGAUUAUGAUUGUACAACUUGGUGAAUAUACUAAAAAUCAUUUAACUCUGUAUUCUAGAGAGAGGUAAAUUGUAUGGUUAUAUGAAUUUUAUCUCAAUAAAGCUAUUAUUUAUAAAAGAUCAUUAUAACAUGUUUAACUUAUAUAAAUAUGUUCAUUCCUUAUUUUAAGUUCUUAAAAUGUCCCAGAAACCAGCUCACAAUUCCCCAAUGCUUUGGGCUGCUCUGAAAAAAAAAAAAUGGUUCCAGACAUAUAGACUGUUUUUAGUCUUAAACAAAAGUACUUCUCUGGAUGAAUAAUUAAACUCAGAAGGUGAUAAAUCUUCUCCCUUCUCAGCCUUUUUGUUAAAAUGGGGACUAGGCUCAGGACUUGGCCACUACAAGUGGCCAAAUAAGUGGUCACUGAAUUUUAGAGCAAGAAUGGGGUCUAGUGACCAGCUAAGAAGCAUCCCAUGAACAAAUUUUUAUCUUGCUAUGGAUUCUACCAAAGCAAAUAAGGGCUUGGAUUCUGUUAGUUUACUCAAGUGGUAAUUGCAGGAAGAACUAAUGAGUGGAGAAAGACACAAAAGGAAGAAAAACCAAUAAAAGAUAUGAUGAAACAUGGGUUGCCUUAAGUGGGCAAUUGGGGCUCAAUCCCACUGGGGACACUCUGUGAAGAUAUGUACAAUUUGUCUCAAAAUUGCCCCAGAGGAGUAUAGGGAGACUGAGGCAUGUAACCACCAGCUCACACGUCUUCUUAGUUGGGGACUGGUGUCGAAGAGUUAACUCUCCCUCACGUCUGGGCUGUGUCUGCCUGCCAUAGAAGAAGCUUCUGCUGAAGAAAUCCUUCAGGCUUAAAAAAAAGAGCAAGGCAGAUGCUUGAGGGGAAAGCCAUCAGCUUUCUGGAACUUUCUACAGCUUUGAGUGAGAUUAGGUGGGCUGUGGAGUUGAGAGGUGGACAAACAUCAACUACAGUCUCUUGUGACAAAGGACACAUAAGAGGGAUGGGAUUUCCACCACUGCUCUGGCUCAAAAGGGAAUUUCCAAUUCACCUUUCCUGCCCCAUCUUGAUUAGGAGGUGGAUUUCCCUUCAGUUUCAUCACCCCCAAGUGACAAAGUCCUUUUCUGAUCUGUGGGACUGAUGAGCAUCUAGGACCUCCACCAGUAGCUUGUCUAUAGGAGAUGGGUCCAUGCAGAACAGUGGAGGGUUCUAGGCAGAGUCCACAGGCAGCAACAAACCUCACUUACAUCCAGGGACUCCACUGUCUAGAGAUUGGUCCAUAAUGAGAGAAAAGGGACAUUUAGGUGUAGAGUCAGUGUCCUCAUAGCUUCUUGGCACAUGAAAGGUGCCUACCUCCUUACCACGGUUCUCAGCUUCUCCUUUUCACCUUAGUGAGUCUUGGCUACUGAGAGAACUCAUUCUGCUGACAUCAGUCCAAACCUCUCUGUACUAUAGCCCCCAAUGAUUCGUGGUAAAACAUUAAUUUUGGAAAUUAAUAAUGUAAAUUCCACAUCUCAAGGUUAGAAGAAGUCAAUGUAAAGAAAGCCAAACAAGGUUCCUUACCACAGGAUUUCCAAGAUCCUUCAGUAUGCCUGUAAGCCUUGACGACCCUCAAGGAGAAGUUUCAAGUUCACAGUAUUUCUUAAAACUAUUCUCCCAGAAAAGAUUUUCCCAUAGAUUUUCAUUGAACUAGUGUUCUACAGAAUACACUUGGGGCAACACUGGUAUAGCCCAAUCCAUUUGUUUCACUGAUGAGGAAACUGGAGUCCACAGAAGCAAGGUGACUUGCACAAGUCAUGCUAUAAGUUGCCGAUGGAGCCAGAACUUAAACCCACAAUUUCCAUCUUUCAUAUCUCCAUGCCCUCUGCUCAGUGACAGUACAAUGGUCAUGGUUUCACCUGUGAUGGAAAGCUCCUGAGUUGUCCUUUCCCUGUCCUUUGUGUCUUCGAGGAGUGUCAUCCUCCAUCACUAUCUGAACCAGAGAAAUGAAACAUUUGUGUCAUUCCUAUGGUCAACAACUGUCAACUAGGAGAAGCUAAAUGUGACAAGCUCUCACUAAGGAUAUAUAAAUGAGGUUUCUAAGCAGCAAAGAUACUUUCUCCACUCUCUCUUGCCCCCUCUACUAGAUGAAUGCUAAGAACACUGGGACCCUAGGGAGUGGCAAAGCCAUACAAUGGAAAGAAGUCUGCUUUCUUGAACCUGCAUGCAGAGGGAAGCCACUGGCUUACCUGCAAAGAGUCCCACAUGAGCAAGAAAGAAACUUCUAUCAGGAUAAACCACUCCAGCGGAAUGAGCUAUUUUUCACUUCAACUCUCUCCGUCUUGCCUACUGCCACCACCUGGUCUUGUCACCACAACAUUCCUUAACACCCCAGUAGGGAAAAGGCAAACCAGAGGCAGACAGCCCUGGGCCCGAGAGUCUCAAGUCCACCAUCUGAUGAAGUGGCUUUGGGCAGGUUACCAACGUCUGGGUCAUAAUGGAACAUGCCCUGUGAAUAUCGUCAUGAAGUCCCCAUUUCUAAGGAGUGGAACAUGCUCAAGGAAGAGAGCAACUUUCCCCCAGCCUGACAGAAUGCAACAUAAUUGGUUUAUGCCAAACAUGGCAAUUCCAUUCCCUUUUCCCUAUGAUUGACUUGGGAGCUGGCAUGUGACCCAAUUCUGACCAGUGAGACUAAAGAGACAAUCUGUUGAUGAUGUCUUCUCCCAAGAUUUAUGUUUUCUGCUACAAAGAGUAACAGCCAGUUCCCUCCUGCCUGACUUGAAUGUAAUUGCAUGGGAACAUGAUACUUGGAGCUACAGCAGCCAUUCUGUGAUCAUGAGGCAACAAGCCAAAGGGCACAGGAUAAAACAGUGAAAAGACAGAAUGAUAUCAUUAGAUUAGAUGAUAUCAUUAAACUGCUGAACCAAUCUGGAACCAAUGACUUCUAGACUUUGAUAAUUCGUGAGAUGAUUAAAAAUUUCUAUUGUUUUACCCACAA